GCUGGGCACAGUGGCAUAUGCCUGUAAUCCCAGCAUCUCUGGAUGCUGAGGCCAGGGAAUCACUAGUUCAAAGCCAUUGGCAAAAGCUAGGUGCUAAGCAACUCAGUGAGACCCUGUCUCUA
Molecule: small RNA, 122 nt
Filed under: Marmota monax (woodchuck)
Lineage: Eukaryota; Metazoa; Chordata; Mammalia; Rodentia; Sciuridae
Source: RNAcentral